RNAcentral lists this ribosomal RNA (468 nucleotides) under uncultured bacterium. RNAcentral describes it as "partial 16S ribosomal RNA". It matches the Rfam family "Bacterial small subunit ribosomal RNA", at positions 28 to 507 of the family's 1533-position model. The record is from RNAcentral.
GACGAACGCUGGCGGCGUGCUUAACACAUGCAAGUCGAACGGAAAGGCCCUGCUUUUGUGGGGUGCUCGAGUGGCGAACGGGUGAGUAACACGUGAGUAUCCUGCCCUUGACUUUGGGAUAACUUCAGGAAACUGGGGCUAAUACCGGAUAGGAGCUCCUGCUGCAUGGUGGGGGUUGGAAAGUUUCGGCGGUUGGGGAUGGACUCGCGGCUUAUCAGCUUGUUGGUGGGGUAGUGGCUUACCAAGGCUUUGACGGGUAGCCGGCCUGAGAGGGUGAACGGCGACAAUAGUACUGAGAGACGGCCCAGACUCCUACGGGAGGCAGCAGUGGGGAAUAUUGCGCAAUGGGCGGAAGCGUGAUGCAGCAACGCCGCGUGCGGGAUGACGGCCUUCGGGUUGAAAACCGAUGUCGCCUGUGACGAGGCGUGCGUGACGGUAAUGGGUAAAGAAGCACCGGCUAACUACGUG